GAUAAGUAAAGACAGGUAUUAAGGAAAAGCAGCAGGCUAGAUAGACUACUGAACGAGGAAACAAUGCACCCGGACACAGUGAUGUCAGUUGGUUUUGUGGGAUCCAAAACAAAAUUUUGUAAAAUGCUACAAGCAGAAUUCCACAUUACACAACACCCCCUCUACCAAUAAUAAUAACAUGCUCUCAGAACAAAGUUACUCCUCAAUACAUAUUUUUUUAAAAAAGCAACAACUGGCAUGUGAACAAACCAUUAGCUGUCAUAAACAGAAUGCUAUCGCUGCUAAAAGUAAGGCCCACUCUGCAAUGUAUCAGCAAAAAGAGCAACAUCAUUAAAGGUGUGAAUUCCUGCAACGUGGUUCAGAGUGCACAGUGAUUGGUCCAUCCUGUCCAAACUGCUCCUUGGUUUUGUGCACUUGUCCAAUGAAAUCAAUGAAGCCCUCUCCAGUUUUUGGCACUCCUUGCUCGGGCCAGUCAGUGAACUGGAAUUGGCGGAUUGUUCUGGACUGGCCAUCCUGUGAAGCAGCAAAUACAGAGUUUAAGACAUUUAAGAGGCACAUUGCACUGCAGGUGAUGCCUUGGCAUAUUCAGAUGGGGCCAAUCCUGAAGGGCCGCGCUGACACUGGCUGGAUAAUGAAACACAGCACGGAGACAAACCAUGGCAGACAGGAUGAUCUGAGGAGGGACACUGGCACUAGAUGUGGAACAUGCAUUGGUUCACAGAUGUGACCUCAGGGUUCCUUUGACCCAAGCUAUCAAGGGCUGCAGAGUCUGCUGUCUCCUGUCGUGUAAAUAAUGUAAA
This is a long non-coding RNA of Micropterus dolomieu (smallmouth bass), 800 nucleotides long. RefSeq lists it as uncharacterized. Lineage: Eukaryota; Metazoa; Chordata; Actinopteri; Centrarchiformes; Centrarchidae. The transcript has 3 exons. The record is from RefSeq and is a predicted model, not a curated record.